Molecule: unclassified non-coding RNA, 308 nt
Filed under: rhizosphere metagenome
Description: partial ribosomal RNA internal transcribed spacer region
Source: RNAcentral
GAAUAUUCUUGAUGGGUUGUAGCUGGCUCUUCGGGGCAUGUGCACGCUUGUCUUGACUUUAUUCAUCCACCUGUGCACCCUUUGUAGUCUUGGGGGUUGAGAGCAGUCGACUAUCGGAUGGCUAUGGCUUUUCCGGACAUGAGGAUUGCUGAGUGCGCAAGCAUACAGCUCUUCUCAAAUGGCUUGCAAAACCUCUCCUUCAAGUACUAUGUAUUCAUAUACCACAUAGUAUGUUGAAGAAUGUGAUCAAUGGGCCUAUGUGCCUAUAACAAUCAUAUACAACUUUCAGCAACGGAUCUCUUGGCUCU